RNAcentral lists this ribosomal RNA (440 nucleotides) under uncultured bacterium. RNAcentral describes it as "partial 16S ribosomal RNA". It matches the Rfam family "Bacterial small subunit ribosomal RNA", at positions 338 to 795 of the family's 1533-position model. The record is from RNAcentral.
CCUACGGGAGGCAGCAGUAGGGAAUAUUGCACAAUGGGGGAAACCCUGAAGCAGCAACGCCGCGUGGAGGAUGAAGGUUUUCGGAUUGUAAACUCCUUUUGUUAGAGAAGAUAAUGACGGUAUCUAACGAAUAAGCACCGGCUAACUCCGUGCCAGCAGCCGCGGUAAUACGGAGGGUGCAAGCGUUACACGGAUUCACUGGGCGUAAAGGGCGCGUAGGCGGGAUAGCAAGUCAGAUGUGAAAUCCUAUGGCUUAACCAUAGAACUGCAUUUGAAACUGUGAUUCUAGAGUAUGGGAGAGGUAGGUGGAAUUCUUGGUGUAGGGGUAAAAUCCGUAGAGAUCAAGAGGAAUACUCAUUGCGAAGGCGACCUGCUAGAACAUAACUGACGCUGAUGCGCGAAAGCGUGGGGAGCAAACAGGAUUAGAUACCCGAGUAGUC